Molecule: long non-coding RNA, 274 nt
Organism: Acanthochromis polyacanthus (spiny chromis)
Lineage: Eukaryota; Metazoa; Chordata; Actinopteri; Pomacentridae
Exons: 3
Source: RefSeq, a predicted model, not a curated record
AUGGCGCUUAUGCCGAGCCGGAAAUCAGUCGUCUUCCUCUUCUCAGGGCAAAUUACAUUUGGUCUGCUCACGUGUAGGUUUUUGACACACGGAUGACUUUGUCCAACUUUAGGAGUUUGCAGAGAUGAGCCAAUAUUUCCAUGGCAUUCCCUGGCUACUGCUGAAGUAUCCCAAGGGACACUGCUGUAAGAGCACCUUCAGCGGUCAGGGAUGAGCGCUCCCCUUCUCCGGCUGUAUCAAGCACACGCUCAAUUAGCAUCGCAUGGUAGGUGAG